Molecule: long non-coding RNA, 602 nt
Filed under: Homo sapiens (human)
Lineage: Eukaryota; Metazoa; Chordata; Mammalia; Primates; Hominidae
Description: non-protein coding lnc-FOXO3-5:5
Source: RNAcentral
AAUAACUUGGUAAGCAAUAUUUCACAAUAUUUCAGAUUUCUUGAUCUUUGUUUCAGUUUCAGGGUACCUGCAGAAUACAGACAUUUUGAGUUAAGAAAACCACACGUCUAUCUUCAAAAUUGAGAUUACCCUCUAUAUUUCAUUUUUCAUAAUUGCACAGAAAUGACAUCACCCAAUUUUCCAAAUUAUAUGACUUGAAUUUCACACUGGAUGUUUCAAAAAUUUGUUGAUUAACUUAUUGGAUAGUGACUCACUCAUUCACAGCUGGCUUUCACUCCAGACUUUUGUUCUCUUUUCUUCAAGCUGUUUACGUCUUAUUAACCAUUCAAAAUGCUUCUCAGCCCCCACCUCCUCUGUGAAGCUUUCUCUGACCAACUCCCAACCCCUCAAGCUUUCUCCACUCUCUCUGCCCCCUCCUUACCUGGCUGGGGUCACACUGGGCUUCAUUUAUCUCUUUACACAUCUGCCCCCUUUGUCUCCCCUGCUAGAUAGAGCAACGUCAUUAAGAAAAGUGUUUUUCUCUGUUUGUUGCCCAAGGGAGAUUUACUCUCUUCCCCUUUAACAAAAUGUUUUCUCACAGACUACAGCCUUGUAGCAGCAUG